CCAUCAUCCCCAGCCACAAAAAAUUGUAGCUGGUGUUGAUGGACGCUGUAGUUCAGCAACAUCUGGAGGCUCCUGUUUUCCAAAAACGGAAACCACAUCCCUUCACUUAGCUCAGUCAUAUCAGCAGUUAAAAGUACUGGAUUUUGUUUUGAUUCUUGUCCAUCUCUUUGUGAAGGUCAAGCACACCUCAUUAUCAAAGGAAUGCAAUGCCGUGGCUUAAUGACUAAGGAUUCCUUGGGAAUGUUGACCAAAACCUAUUUCCCAUCCUUUCAGAACCAUUCUAGGCUGCAAAAUGACUCAAGUGCUGCUCAAAGCUAGUGUUUGGGCCAAGCAGGGUAUAAUUCUUUCUUUAAAAACUGAGCCAGCUUGUCACACUAUAUUACAGCAAGAAUGUAUGGAGAAGUUCAGGGCUGUAGCUAUAAUUGAGCAGAUGGGUUCAAAGAACUCGGGACCCCCAGCCCCACCCAUCCCUAUUUUCUUCAUUAUCUUUCUCACUCCGAGGGACCUCUGGGGAGAGGGGCGAACACGGGCUCCCUCUCCCCUAGCUACACCCCUGGAAAAGCUGAAUUCAGGUUUUACAGUGUAAGAACAAUUUUGCCUGUUCAAAAAGACCAACUGGAUAUCCAGAACAAAUAACCAUAGUUUACCUGCUUCUCAACCACCUUGCUUUUGUACACAUACGAAAUAUCUUCCAGAAGAGAAGGGCAAAUUUCAUCCACUUUAGUUAGUAUAACCAGCUGUGGCACAUCUGUAUGAAGACAAUGAGUUAAAAUGACUUGCAGGAUGUAUUGAUUUUACAUGUUAAUUUACAACUGAAUAGAGUAUUUACACAUCUGGGAGUGUAUACUUUAUGUAAUGUUUUAGAUAAUUUUAUUCUUAUUUAGGAAAUAGUACUAUAAUAUUUCUUUAUAUUUAGGAAAUGGUAUGUAAUACUUUGGUUUAUUUAUGCAAUGAAGACCUUUACUCAUUACCUUCAUCUCCUUAUGGCACUACUUAUACUUGACAGAUGUUUCUUUUUAUCCAGGGAAGGCAUUUCUUCAAAAUAAUUCCUGAUAGGGUGUCUCCUAGGCCUAGAAGCUGACAGUUUUCCUGUGGCAAAUGUUGGGCAAUACAGAAAACUGUGUACUGAAUCUUAUGUCCCCCUUUCCCCCACUGUUUUUCUACUUCACCUCCUUUCCUAUAUUAUUUCUCUGUCUUUUUUUUUUCAAAAUUCAAUUUUUAUUGAUUUUAACAAUAAUAUUAUUAUCAUUCAUAACAAACAGAAUAAAUAAAAAUGGACUUCCCGCACACCUCUCUUCAUGAAAGAUCAACUAUAAAAUUUACCCUUGCUAUAAUAAUAAUUCAAAACAUAAAUUUAAACCCUUACAAACAUCUGUCAACUCUUCUGCCUUGGCACAGCCCCACCACAAAACCAUACUCUCUAGUUUACAUCUUUGCACAGGAAAACCAGGCUUAAAAACAGAAACUGAAAGCCCAAAUUCCCCAAACUCCCAGCUGAUAGUUGCUGAGAACUGCUGAACAGACUAGAGCAAUUUUCAUGAGAUGAAACUAAAACUAAUGCCCAUAUCUGAUUGGUAAGUAACUCACUAUUUGUGAUAGAGACAUAUUAAUUUAUUUUUAGGAAACUGAAUAUAUUGGUGUGGCAUGUUUGAAAGGUAAAGGUAAAGUGUGUCAUCAAGUUGAUUUUAAUUCCUGGCAUCCACAGAGCCCUGUGGUUUUCUUUGAUAGAAUACAGGAGGGGUUUACCAUUGCCUCCUCCCACACAGUAUGAGAUUAUGCCUUUCAGCAUCUUCCUAUAUCGCUGCUGCCCGAUAUAGCAAUAGCAAUAGCUAUAACCCGAUAUAGCAAUAGCAAUAGCACUUACAUUUAUAUACCGCUCCAUAGCUGGAAGCUCUCUAAGCGGUUUACAAUGAUUUAGUAUAUUGCCCCCAACAUUCUGGGUACUCAUUUUACCGACCUCGGAAGGAUGGAAGGCUGAGUCAACCUUGAGCCCCUGGUCAGGAUCGAACUUAUAACCUUCUGGUUACAGGGCGGCAGUUUUACCACUGCGCCACCAGGUAGUAGAUAUGGUAGGUAUAGUAGGUAUAUAGUAGGUAUAGAUAUAGUAGUAGAUAUAGUAGGGAUUCAAAGGUAAAUCUUGCCUCACAAACCUUUUGAAGUUCUCUGAGAGUGUCAACAAGUGUGUGGAUCAAGGUGAUCCAGCUGACAUAGUAUACCUGGACUUCCAAAAAGCUUUUGACAAAGUUCCUCAUCAGAGAGAGCAACCAAGAUGAUCAGGAGCCUAGAGCACCUUUCUUAUGAGGCAAGACUACAAUACCUGGGGCUUUUUAGUUUAGAAAAAAGACGACUGCGGGGAGACAUGAUAGAGGUGUAUAAAAUCAUGCAUGGUGUGGAGAAAGUGGAGAGAGAGAAAUUCUUUUCCCUCUCACACAACACUAGAACCAGGGGUCACUCCAUGAAAUUGAUUGUCAGGAGGUCUAGGACCAACAAACAGAAGUACUUUUUCACACAAAGCAUGAUCCACUUGUGGAACUCUCUGCCACAGGAUGUGGUGACAGCCAACAACCUGGAUGGCUUUAAGAGCGGUUUGGAUAACUUCAUGGAGGAGAGGUCUAUCAACCAGUCGGAGGGCUGUGGGCCACCUCCAGUCUCAAAGGCAGGAUGCCUCUGAGUACCAGUUGCAGGGGAGUCACGGCGGGAGAGAGGGCAUGCCCUCAACUCCUGCCUGUGGCUCCCAGCAGCAUCUGGUGGGCCACUGUGUGAAACAGGAUGCUGGACUGGAUGGGCCUUGGGCCUUUUCCAGCAGGGCUGUUCUUAUGUUCUUAAACCAGCAACCUUCUGCUUGUUAGUCAAGCAUUUCCCUGCUGCGCCAUUAAGUGGCUUUGCAUGUGAUCAGAUUUAAUUAAGUUAGGAUUGGGCAAGGUCAAGGAGGGAUAGGGAGGACUGGAGGGAGUCAGGUAAGAGGAGGCAAGGUAAGAGGCUGGACGUUUCUAGCUAGACAUUUCUAGCUUGGACUACGGCUCUGCUCUGCUUUUGUUCUACUGUCUUUGUUAUAGUUGUGGCCUCCCCCACUCCCUCCAUUGCCCGAUAAUUUCCUCCUGUGGACAUUAUAUUGGCCACUUCUCGAAAUCUCUCGUCAGAGGAGGACUCUGCAUUUCUGGGUCUUAUAAGGAAGGAAGUGCACCAGAAGUACAGUGGGCCGGGCAAGAGGAGUGGGAGGCUGUAAUAAAAUCCUUUAGUUGGCAGGCAGCAGGUGACCUAACUGCAGGCAGCCCGUGAAGCCAGUCUCCAAAGAAGUCCAGACUUUCAUGCUGGGCUUUCAGUGUGGGACUGGGGUACACUGUGUUAUUUUAUAACUGUGUAAGAAGUAGGGAUGUGCACGGAAAUGGUUCAGAGGCCCUUUAUGGGCCUCCGAACUGUUUCGAACGGUGGGUGCUUCCGCUGGUUCAAAGGAGGGGGGUACUGCUUUAAGUGUGUGGGGGGGUGAACUUACCCCUCCCACUGGUCUUCUCCCGCUGGCGCUCCUUUUUCAGUAAGUCCAUGGGGUGGCAGCAUGGCUCCCUGCUGCCCCGUUUGCCAGAUAUACCCAGAAGUAUCAGGCACAGGGGCAUGCAGGUCACGCUUGGGCAUGUACAGGUGCAUGGCAGGCAUGACACGUGCGUCCCCACACCGUCGCACGCAGGCGUGCCCGAUACUUCUGGGUAUAUCCAGUAAACGGGGCAGCAGGGAGCUAUAUUGCCGCGCCAAUGGGGGAAGAGUGGCGGGGGGGGGGUAAGUUCACCCUCCCCCACACUUAAAGCGGCACACACACCUGCCUUUGAGCCUCCCCACCCUGUUCCGUGCACAUCCCUGGUAAGAAGCUGAAGUUGCUAGUGAGAGAGCUUCUGCUGCUUGAGUCUUGGGCAAGGUUAGUCAACCAUGUGUCUAGGUUUAUCUGGAGAUGGGGAAACAAGGGACAUGUGUGAUCACUGACUACGGGGUGGCUAUUCUGGUGGUCUUGCAGAAUAGAAGAAGUAGCAUUGACAGGUCAGCAGGCCCUUACAGGGGAAGGGAAAUCAGAAAUUGACCUUCGGUAGCAGUGCCUACCUCCCACAGAACUUCACCUUGCUCGUUUCUAAUGACAGGUUAGUUUAAAAUGAAUCUGAAAUCAUACAUUUAAUUAUGGAUAAAGUAGCUGACCUGGUAUGUAUUAUAGAGAUUGGGUGAUUAAACCUUCUCCAUACAGAGUAGGAACAUAGGAAACUGCCAUAUACUGAGUCAGACCAUUGGUCUAUCUAGCUCAGUAUUGUCUUCACAGACUGGCAGUGGCUUCUCCAAGGUUGCAGGCAGGAAUCUCUCUCAGCCCUAUCUUGGAGAAGCCAGGAAGGGAACUUGGAACCUUCUGCUCUUCCCAGAGCGGCUUCAUCCUCUGAGGGGAGUAUUUUGCAGUGCUCCCACAUCAAGUCUCCCAUUCAGAUGCAACCAGGGCAGACCCUGCUUAGCUAUGGGGACAAGUCAUGCUUGCUACCACAAGACCAGCUCUCCUCUCCAAGUACUCUGAACAGUACUCUGUUCAGGAGUAGAUAAGAGGACAUGGGCGUGGAGGUGGAGUUGCUGUGGCCUAUAAGAAUAACAUCUCACUUACCUGGAUCCCUGUCAGAGUAUCUAACUAUGUUAAUUGUGUGUACUUAAGUUUGGGGACCAGAAAUAGACUGGGACUUCUGUUGGUGUACCCAUCACCCCGAUGCCUCACAUACUCCCUGAGCUGACAGACUUGGUUGUGAAAUUGAUAUUGGAGUCUUCCAGACUUAUAGUGAUGGGGAACUCCAAGGUUCAUUUCGGGUCCAAACUCUCUGGGAAAGCUCCAGAGUUUAUAGUGGCCAUGGCUAUCUCAGGUGUUCUCCAAACUGAUGCACGUUGCUGACUCAAUUUGGUCUUUUACUCUGAUCAGGGUGGCAUGGCUGUCCUUAGAGAGCCCUGUCAGGGUGUGGGCCUGGGGCAAAUCAGCCAGUGUGGAGCCACCUUUCAGUUAAUUCUAAUGGGAGUAUAAAGAGCAGGGCCCAGGGCAGCCACCUUGCUUGCCAUGCCCUAAGGACAGACCUGCAGGGUGGUGUUCCAUGGGUGGGGACUCCUGAUUUCCCCAUUGUAAUGGACAACUUAACCAUCUGGUUAAGGUUAGACUUACAAACAAUCUACAGGGGUGAAGAGUCUAUUAGGAUGGUCCAUCUGAAAAGAUUAUUGUGUCCAACAGGACUCCAAGAAGCCUUGGAAGGAUUUCAAGUUGGCUGUGUCAGUGAUUCAAGUGGGGAGCUGUAACAGAGAACUCACCAGAGCAGUAGACAUCAUAGCUCCUAAGCAUUCUGUCUCCAACCCACUUCAAAACUGACCCAUUUUGAAAUGAAAGAACUAGAGAAAUAACUCCUGCUAACUGAGCAAAGAGGCACCUUCUUAAAAUGGUGAUCCUCUUUAUUUAGCAGGGGGAAAGCUACUGGCCUUUCAACCCCAGCACAGCAUCCUUCCAGUGGCUGUUGCUGGUGUCUUUCUUAUGUUUGUUUUUUAGACUGUGAGCCCUUUGGGGACAGACAGCUAAUUAAUUAAUUAAUUUCUGUAUGUAAACCGCUUUGGGAACUUUGGUUGAAAAGCGGUAUAUAAAUAUUCCUCAUAUUCGUAGAGGAGCUGAAGCGGCAAGUUAGAUAACUGGAGUGCAAGUGGCGAAAGUCUCAAUGCAGCUGACAGACUGCAACAGAUCACAGAGAAGAUCUAUGCUCUGGCAAUACAUGUAGCAAAGAAGCAGCUCUUUUCUGCCUGCAUUGCAUCAACAAGCUCAUGUCCAACUGAAUUGUCUAGGGUUGUGAAAGUGCUAAUACAUGCAGAGGUGCACCUAGAUAAUUUUGGAGUCUGGAUGUAAAGGCCUUUGGAUGUCUCCUCCCCCGCUAGAAGUUAAGCAUUUUUUAACACGUAGGUUCUUUAGGGCACAAACUGCACCACUCAAGACAAACUAAAGAAGAUUUGGGGGACCCCAGGGAGGAUGGACGCCCUGGACUUCAGCCUCAAAGUCCAGGGGGAAGAGCACCUCUGAGUACAUGCCCCUCUGUCCCUGAAUUUCAAUUUCAAACAUACUGGGGCUAUUCUCACAAUCUGCAAAAAUCGGGCUAGGAGAGCCUAGCCCGAUUUUUGCAGAUCGUGAGAACCACCGGGCUCGGCUUCGAGCCUGGUGGUUCUAGAGCGGGUCACCCGCUUCUGUAGCCCUCCCCAUAGCCUGGGUUUGCAGAGCAAGUGCUCCGCAAACCCGGGCUAUCUGAUCGUGAGUAGCCAUGGCAUGGAUCCGCGGCACAGCUAUCUGCGAGUGAAUCCCCCAAGGGGAGGCGAAAAGCCGCUUCCUGGCUCCAGGGGUCUCCCCAGUAUGCCCUGUGUACUCGUGCAGGGCAUACUGGAGCUUCCGGAGGCCAUGCGGCCCCCGAGCUCCCCAGCCCCCACCGGCUCCAUCACAGAACCGGCAACUGUGUGGGCAGCCAAUCCGGCCACCCAGGGCUCCGUCCCCGAUCAUGAGCGAGGAAAGCAGGCUUAGCCCGCUCUCCCCGCUCAGCUCACUAAACCGGGUCUCAUGGAUCGUGAGACCCGGCUCACUAUCUAGAUGAAGGCUGUUGUAGAGGUCCUAGUAGAGAUUAGAAAUGCUUCUCUAGGGAAAGGCAGCAUGCCUUCCUGUCUUAAGGAGGCAAUUGUUAAACCUUUUCUGAAGAAGCCUGCAUUGGGUUCCUCAGAGUUAAGCAAUUAAAGGCCUGUUUCCAACCUUCCUUGGUUGGGCAAGGUAACUGAGAGGGUAUCCUUCUGGGUUGUCUUUGCAGUGCUUCUGUUCCUACCUCUCCAGCAGAUUCCAGAUGGUGUCUCUUGGAGACUGUUGCUCUUCAAAAUGAAAACUUUUGUACAGAGUCAUGAAGGACUCCAUAUUGUCUCCAAACCUUUUUAAUAUUUACAUGAAACUGCUGGGAUAGAUAAUCAGAAGAUUUGAUGCAGGGUGUUAUCAGUAUGCGGAUGACACCCAUAUCUAUUUCUCUAUGUCAGCUUCACCAGGAAAAGGCAUAACCUCCCUAAAUGCCUGCCUGGAGGCAGUAAUGGGCUAGAUAAGGGAUAACAAACUGAGAAUGAAUCCAAGUAAGACAGAAGCACUUAUUGUGCCGUGUCGGAACUCCGGAGACAAUUUUGAUCUGCCUAUUAUGGACAGGUCUACACUCCACAGAAGGAACAGUUUUGCAGUCUGGAAGUACUCCCGGAUCCAAACUUCUCUCUAGAAUCUCAGGUGGAGGCAGUGGCAAAAGUUCUUUCUAACAGCUUUGGCUGAUAUGCCAGCUGCAUUUGCUUCUUGGGAUACAUGACCUCAAAACUGUACUGCAUAUGCUGGUAACUUCUAGACUUGAUUAGUGCAAUGAGCUCUAUGUACAGCUGCCUUUGUAUGUAGUCUGGAAACUGCAAUUGGUGCAAAAUGUGGCAGCCAGGUUGGUCUCCAUGUUAUCUUGAAGAGACCAUAUUUAUUCCUAUAUUAAAAGAAUUGCAUUGGCUACCAAUAUGUUUCCCGGCAAAAUACAAAAUGUUUGUAAAACCUAUAAAGCCCUAAACAGCUUAGGCCCAGGAUAGUAAAGAAAACAUCUUCUUCAUUAUGAGCCCUACCACCAACUGAGAUCAUUCAGAGAGGUCUGUCUGCUGUUGCCACCAGCUCAUCUGGUAGCUACUCAGGAGCAGGCCUUCCCCAUUGCCACCCUGAGACUCUGGAAUGUGCUGCCUGCUGAAAUAAGAGCUUCCCCAUUUCUGACAACUUUUUAAAAGUCCUUAAAUUCAUUCACCCAGACCUUUUAACUAGAAUAGUGGUUUUAAACUUUUUAAAAUGUUUUAAUUUGUUUUAAUUUGUUCUACAUUUGUUGUAAACUGUCCAGAGACAUGAGUUUGGGACAGCGCACAAAUAUUCUAAAUAAAUAAAUAAAAUAUGUGUUUUUUAUUAGCAUGAAGAUUUGAAUCUAAUAUUUUAUUUACAUUUGGGGGGGAAUUAAAAUUGAUUAAAACUUUGACAAACCUGUUGUUUUUAAAAUCAUCAAUUUUUAUACACCCUGAUGACAUGUACUACUUUCUGUCAGGGACACAUUCUAGGGCUUUUAGAUUUAAACUAGCCAACCCUACACAGAGCAUCUGUGUGCUCUUUGGGGCCGGUGGUUACCUCUUCUCCCCCACCUUGUGCCCCAGUCUCUGCUUCCAGGCCCAGCCACCUCUCCUCCCCACCGCCACUUCUGCCCCCCCCCUUUCUUUCACCCCUCCUGGGCCUUGCCUCCGCGGCCGGGCUGUGCCUGCAUCCGCUUCUGGCCUCCACAUCCUGGGUGCGCCUCAGCCAGCGAAGCGCAUCUGCCACCCAGCCAAUGAGCUAGGCGCUGGGACACACAUUCCAAGGCACACCCAGGAGAAUUAUAUAUAUAGAUCUGGAUAUAGGAUCAAAUGCUUGUGAGAGGAAAUGGUCCUACAAGUUAGACUUAUUUGUUUCACUUACUUGGUUUCUGUCCACCUCCUACUAGAAUUGCUGUUCUGUUUGUUUGAAAACAAAUGAUUAAAGGCUCUUUGGGUAGCACCCUGUUCCCUCUGGUUAAGCAGAUGGAGGCACUGGUCCUGAGCAGGACUUCUUCCUAGUCUGGCUAACUACUUUCCUGAGCUCCAUUAGAUCACCCAGGGUGUUCUAAGGAGAAUUUAUCAUCUGAAAAACUGAUACACCUCUUCAGGUUAGGCACAAAAAUAUUUUUGGGUCUGACUGGUUAAAACAUAAAUGAAAAAAACUGACCAAACUCAUUUGCUUGUUUGCUUUGCCGUCGAAUUUCUCUUAGCUUUUUCUCUAGUUCCUCUGGGAGAAUCUCAACCUUGGAGCCAUCAAGAACAAUUACCACACAAUGGAUCUGGUCUUUCAGAGAUGGGUUCUUGAUGUAGCCUGGCACAUUUGGUUGCAUAGCAGCAGAUGGAUUAAACUGAACAUAAAAGAGUGGAACAAAAUAAUAAGCAACAGUAGAAAGACCAAGUGCCUCCUUUCUUGGAGAACUGAGACUUAAAGAAGGAAAUGCAGUGCUUCAUUGUGCUCAUCCCAGUACACAAGAACAGACCACAUGACUUGCAGUGGGGACAGAACACGUGACCCAUCUUCAGAGUGGGUCCUGCUACUGGCCAUCUCCACAACUUGCAACGAUAGUCCUGGACAUGCUCAGAACCAUAAUUUCUUUCAGAGACCAUAGAAUGUGUAGUGAUACCAGCAGGAAAUGGCACUUCGGAACAUGCUCAGAACCUCAUUUGAAGUUGUAUAGAGAGUUGCCCAGAGAGCCUGCCUGCUUCUGUGUAUCUGUCUGAGAGCCAGGUCUGUUCCCACCAGGGCCUGCCACCCUCACUCAGUGUUGCAGGGUUUUUAGCCUUGGGAAGCCUAGGCUUCUUGGUUCUUUAAUCAUUUCUGAAUAUGCAAAAAAUAAGCCUUGAGUACAGUUUUGAGUACUUGCAAGGAUUGCAAGAUAAUUAGUGGGAUGUUUCUCCAUCUCUAACCUACUAGUAUAAAUGAAAACUUCUUGUGAAUUUCUAUAUCAUGGAACUUCUCUACUGGUGACAAAUGAGCUAGAAAGGCAGUUUAUCAUCUUUACUUGGAAAUAAGUCUUGAGUCACUUUUGUAAGAUCAAGAUAGUUUAAGAACUUUGCAACCAUCAUGAACACAAGAGAAGUCAACAACUUAUUGCUAUCAAUAUGAUGUGAAAUUAAGAUCUUUUUUUCAAGAAUAAAUCAAAUAUUCUUCUGAUGAUUUUAAGGAAA
Molecule: long non-coding RNA, 9795 nt
Organism: Hemicordylus capensis (graceful crag lizard)
Lineage: Eukaryota; Metazoa; Chordata; Lepidosauria; Squamata; Cordylidae
Exons: 2
Source: RefSeq, a predicted model, not a curated record